GCAGAGUCUAACAGUCACACGAUUAGCAGUAGACUGAAACCAGUGAGGAGGCGAUCUUCCGCCUCAAAUCGGGCACGCGCAUGCCACCGAUCUCCCCGCGCAGGCCCGCCCCACACCCUAGGAGCCGCGAUCCCAGCCCGCCCACCGUCCAGAUUUACCCCCUGAUCGAGCCGAUCGCGGUUUCCUACCUCCGGGAAAAUCACACAAGGAUCGCCAAAACAACGCCGAAACGGAGGGCGCGACAGGACGUACGUGCUACCUCAGAGACACCGCACCACCCAAGCCGAGCGGGGAUGGGUUCUCUUCUCUCGGAAGUAUGAUGAGAAACUGUUAGCGGAGCAGCUUCCUCCUUUUCUUCUCCCUCCCGAACAGUAGACUGUUUUCCAAUUUGAGAGAAAUGGGGAAGGGAAGACGGACCUUGUCAAGCACACUGAAGAGCUGCAUCCGGGAGGCGGCGGCUCGUGUUCCUCCUGCCAAGCGCCGACAGUUAGGACGAGGAGGAGAAGGGGCGGGGCAGCCACGGAG
Molecule: long non-coding RNA, 525 nt
Filed under: Hordeum vulgare
Lineage: Eukaryota; Viridiplantae; Streptophyta; Magnoliopsida; Poales; Poaceae
Description: long non-coding RNA (HVUL_LNC016883)
Source: RNAcentral